This 704-nucleotide long non-coding RNA is filed under the name Homo sapiens (human). RNAcentral's name for it is "HSALNT0360448". The record is from RNAcentral. Lineage: Eukaryota; Metazoa; Chordata; Mammalia; Primates; Hominidae.
UCUCUCUGCAGGUUACACCACCCCCAACCUGGACCCCAUCCAAUAGGCUCGUGGUCCCUGAUGGUCCUGGACCACUGAUUUGAGGCCUUUCUGCUUCCUUUGAUUCAGUCUUUGGCAGAGACCCAGGAGCAGGAGUCCUUGAUGGCACCUGGCCCUUUCUAGUCACCGACAAGGGAAACCUGAGAAACCAUUCUCAGAAAUGGAACUAAAUUGACACAGCAUUUGUCUCCUCCAGAGGAUACAGCACCAAGGCGCCAUCUUGGAAGUAGACUGGAGCUCUUAGCAGACCAGAACCUGUGGAUGCCAGACUCAUCAACAAAGGCCCACUUGUUCCUUGGGAUUUGUGUCUUGAUGCAUUCUCAAAGAGAGGUUUCCAGGGCACCAGUCACCUGCAGCUCACCUGAAGAUGGCACAUGGCAUGUCGCUGUGCCCCCCUCCCCAUCCAUGUGCUCUACCUGGCAACUUGUUUCUCCCCACCUGAAAGUUGACCUGAGAUGAAACUUGCUAAGGCCUCCUAAGACGAUGUUGCUGGAUGUCCCCUGCUGACCCCACAGACUGGCUCCUCUGGUGUCCGCUGACUUGGCCUGGUGAGAAGGGCAGGGCCAGGCCCUUCCCUGUCUCGACCUGCAUUCCCACCCAACACAGCAAGCUAUUUUGAAAAAACUUCUCUAUCAGUUCUUGUGAGUUAUUUGUCUAAUAAACAA